This 878-nucleotide long non-coding RNA is filed under the name Mytilus galloprovincialis (Mediterranean mussel). The record is from RNAcentral. Lineage: Eukaryota; Metazoa; Mollusca; Bivalvia; Mytilida; Mytilidae.
GGUGGGGUCAUUUAGUGCAAACAUUCAAAUUUCUCAGAUGGUAAGGUUGUCGCAUAUCAAAUGAAAGAACAUAAAGCGUACAUUUCAAAUUUCAAAUUGACGUCUCCCAAAAAUGGGUUGGAUGGGGUCAUUGAGUGCAAAAAAUAAAUGUUCUUUUAAGGUAGGGUUGUUGUAUAUCAAAUGAAAGGUCAUGAUGUGUACAUUUGAAAUAUCAAAUUCCCGACCUUCAAAAAUUUGUUGGAUAGGGUUAUUAAGUGCAAAAAUCAAACUUUUUAAAAUAUGGCGUUGUCGCAUAUCAAAUGAAAGCUCAUCUACCCUGUGUUACAUAUAUCACACUUCCGAUCUCAAAAAUGUAGGCGGAUGAGGUCAUUAAGUGUAAAAAGCGAAAAGUGUCAGAAGGUAUGCUUGUCGUAUAUCAAACGAAAGGUCGUACAAAGAACAUUACGAAAGCAUCACUUCUACAGGAAAGACCUUUCAAUUGUUUUACAAACAAUUGAGAUACUAGUUUUUUUUUUUAAGGUCUUUCCCCUACAUGGGAAAGACCUUAUUGUUUUUCUAAUGUUUUUUUUUCUUUUCUUUUUUUUUUUUUUUUUUUUUUUUUCUUCCAACAUUUUUUUGACAUGCCCGCCUCUUGUUUCUGUUGAAGUUAUUAAGACCAAAUAUGGACCAUCGCUAGAUCUCACCAAGAUGUAUUACCAAAUGACCCUGUUAAGGAUUUCAUCAUCCCCUUUGGAAGUUAUCUCCCUUUUAUUGAUUUUUUUCAACAUGGCCUUCCCUCGUUGGUUUUAAAGAUAUCAUGACUUUAAUUGGACAUAAUGUAGAUCUCAUCAUGAUGUAUUACCAUGUGAGGCUGAAUAGGAUUUCAUCGUCCCCUAUGA